AUGUUGAAAAUUUCAAUUUGAAGGAGUUGGAAAUACAAAGAGCAAAUUCGGCACAGUCCCUGCUUGAAGUGAGCUUAUAUGCACUAACUGUCUCAUGGCAGAACCAUGUUAAUUAGCAGUUUGGAAUGUUACUGAAAUGUUCCCAUCCCUGUUAGCAACCAGCCCUGACCUGUGCAUGGAUGAGCUGAAGUCCUCGCAGGUGCGGGGGUUGGGGGGAACCGCCUCGGAGAAGGGCCGUCUGUGUGCCCACACAGCCCCAGUCAUCACAGGUUUCUGUCAGAAGCUUAUUAAAAGAAACUUGUUACAAAACAGGUUAGUUCAGUUCAAUUCCAAAUACACACUCGCAAGGUGCUCACCUGUAUCUGCUGAGUAUCAACACGGUAAAGGUAAACUUUGUUUCAUCUUUUCUUGAUAAAGCUGUUUUACCCUUUUUCCCUUUUCAAGUGAGAAAAUCUCCAGGAUCAUGAGAUGGCUGGAGACCCAGAAGCUUUCUUUCUCCCCAGCAAGUACUUCUUCCUAGAAUACAUGCAGUACAGAGAUCAGCUGAGAGGUGGAACCCGAGAUGGAGCCAUUCCUUUGACCACAGCCUGAUUCACCGAGUCACCAAGCCACUCCAGGGUAACCUGAGUGGGUCCAGCCUGUGGGUGUCUGAAAGGGGCGCCUGGGUGGCUCAGCAGUUGAGUGUCUGCCUUUGGCUCAGGG
Canis lupus familiaris (dog) is the source of this 702-nucleotide long non-coding RNA. RefSeq lists it as uncharacterized. Lineage: Eukaryota; Metazoa; Chordata; Mammalia; Carnivora; Canidae. The record is from RefSeq and is a predicted model, not a curated record. The transcript has 4 exons.